AGCGAAGUGGCCAAACGCAUCAGACUGUAAAUCUGCUCCCUUACGGGUUCGGUGGUUCGAAUCCAUCA
This 68-nucleotide transfer RNA is filed under the name Paenibacillus sp. EKM208P. RNAcentral describes it as "tRNA-Tyr". It matches the Rfam family "tRNA", at positions 9 to 63 of the family's 71-position model. Rfam says of the family: Transfer RNA (tRNA) molecules are approximately 80 nucleotides in length. Their secondary structure includes four short double-helical elements and three loops (D, anti-codon, and T loops). Further hydrogen bonds mediate the characteristic L-shaped molecular structure. tRNAs have two regions of fundamental functional importance: the anti-codon, which is responsible for specific mRNA codon recognition, and the 3' end, to which the tRNAs corresponding amino acid is attached (by aminoacyl-tRNA synthetases). tRNAs cope with the degeneracy of the genetic code in two manners: having more than one tRNA (with a specific anti-codon) for a particular amino acid; and 'wobble' base-pairing, i.e. permitting non-standard base-pairing at the 3rd anti-codon position. RNAcentral also lists the same sequence under 1 other name. Lineage: Bacteria; Bacillati; Bacillota; Bacilli; Caryophanales; Paenibacillaceae. The record is from RNAcentral.